GCUACGGGUGGCAGCAGUGAGGAAUAUUGGUCAAUGGCCGGGAGGCUGAACCAGCCAAGUCGCGUGAGGGAAGACGGCCCUACGGGUUGUAAACCUCUUUUGUCAGGGAGCAAGGUGCAGGUCGGGACCUGCUGUGAGAGUACCUGAAGAAAAAGCAUCGGCUAACUCCGUGCCAGCAGCCGCGGUAAUACGGAGGUGGCAAGCGUUGUUCGGAAUAACUGGGCGUAAAGGAUGCGUAGGCGGUUAAACAAGUUAUAUGUUAAAUAUAUAGGCUUAACCUGUAGAAAGCAUAUAAAACUGUUUAACUAGAGUGCAGGAGAGGUAAGUGGAAUUCCUAGUGUAGCGGUGAAAUGCGUAGAGAUUAGGAAGAACACCAGUGGCGAAGGCGACUUACUGGACUGUAACUGACGCUGAGGCAUGAGAGCAUGGGGAGCAAACAGGAUUAGAUACCCGAGUAGUC
Molecule: ribosomal RNA, 460 nt
Filed under: uncultured bacterium
Lineage: Bacteria
Description: partial 16S ribosomal RNA
Rfam family: Bacterial small subunit ribosomal RNA
Source: RNAcentral